Molecule: ribosomal RNA, 216 nt
Filed under: Glomeromycotina sp.
Lineage: Eukaryota; Fungi; Glomeromycota
Description: partial small subunit ribosomal RNA
Rfam family: Eukaryotic small subunit ribosomal RNA (bases 40-216)
Source: RNAcentral
GGGUCAGUAGGUUGGUCGUGCCACCGGUACGUACUGGUCUCACUGAUUCCUCCUUCCUGAAGAACCGUAAUGCCAUUAAUUUGGUGUUGCGGGGAAUCAGGACUGUUACUUUGAAAAAAUUAGAGUGUUUAAAGCAAGCUAACGCUUGAAUACAUUAGCAUGGAAUAAUGAAAUAGGACGAUCGAUCCUAUUUUGUUGGUUUCUAGGAUUGACUUA